Molecule: transfer RNA, 73 nt
Filed under: Stegodyphus mimosarum
Lineage: Eukaryota; Metazoa; Arthropoda; Arachnida; Araneae; Eresidae
Rfam family: tRNA
About the family: Transfer RNA (tRNA) molecules are approximately 80 nucleotides in length. Their secondary structure includes four short double-helical elements and three loops (D, anti-codon, and T loops).
Source: Rfam by way of RNAcentral
GCCUUUGUGGUUUAGUGGUCCGCACGUUCGACGCGUAACCGAGAGGUCAGUGGUUCGAUUCCCUGCGAAGGCG